CCAGGCGCGAAAACUUUACAAUGCCGGCAACGGCGAUAAGGGAACCUCGAGUGCCAGGUUACAAAUCUGGCUGUCGUGAUGCCUAAAAAGCAUUGCAUAGCAAGGGCCGGGCAAGACCGGUGCCAGCCGCCGCGGUAACACCGGCGGCUCGAGUGGUAACCGUUAUUAUUGGGUCUAAAGGGUCUGUAGCCGGCCGGGUAAGUCUCUUGGGAAAUCUGGCAGCUUAACUGUCAGGCUUUCAGGAGAUACUGCCUGGCUCGAGGCCGGGAGAGGUGAGAGGUACUUCAGGGGUAGGGGUGAAAUCUUGUAAUCCUUGAAGGACCACCAGUGGCGAAGGCGUCUCACCAGAACGGACCUGACGGCAAGGGACGAAAGCUAGGGGCACGAACCGGAUUAGAUACCCGGGUAGUCCUAGCCGUAAACGAUACUCGCUAGGUGUCGGCCACGGUGCGACCGUGGUCGGUGCCGUAGGGAAGCCGUGAAGCGAGCCACCUGGGAAGUACGGCCGCAAGGCUGAAACUUAAAGGAAUUGGCGGGGGAGCAC
RNAcentral lists this ribosomal RNA (544 nucleotides) under uncultured archaeon. Its description in RNAcentral is "bacterial SSU rRNA". It matches the Rfam family "Archaeal small subunit ribosomal RNA", at positions 335 to 879 of the family's 1478-position model. The record is from RNAcentral.